UCCGGUUUGACACCGGCAGUCCCCUUAGAGUCCUCGGCAUAACCCGUUAGUAACUAAGGGCAAAGGUUUCGCUCGUUAAGGGACUUAACCCGACAUCUCACGACACGAGCUGACGACAGCCAUGCAGCACCUGUACCAGUUGUACCCCGAAGGGCCUACCCUACUUUCAUAGGGAUAAUCCUGGCAAGUCAAGCCCAGGUAAGGUUCUGCGCGUUGCUUCGAAUUGAACCACAUGCUCCACCGCUUGUGUGAGCCCCCGUCAAUUCCUUUGAGUUUUAGCCUUGCGACCGUACUUCCCAGGCGGUCAACUUAGCACUUUUGCUUCGACCGUGAUACCGUCAGAGGCACCACGAUCUAGUUGACAUCGUUUACGGCCAGGACUA
RNAcentral lists this unclassified non-coding RNA (383 nucleotides) under uncultured Tepidisphaerales bacterium. RNAcentral describes it as "contains 16S-23S intergenic spacer region". The record is from RNAcentral. Lineage: Bacteria; Pseudomonadati; Planctomycetota; Phycisphaerae; Tepidisphaerales.